Long non-coding RNA from Ochotona curzoniae (black-lipped pika), 369 nucleotides. RefSeq lists it as uncharacterized. NCBI's taxonomy places the organism in Eukaryota, Metazoa, Chordata, Mammalia, Lagomorpha, Ochotonidae. The record is from RefSeq and is a predicted model, not a curated record. The transcript is spliced from 4 exons.
GAACUGGGUUGGAAAUGGAGCAGCUAGGACUCAACUCAGUGCCGCAGGCAUCAGCUUUACCUGUUGUGCCGUGGUGCAGGCCCCAAGGUUGACCACAUUUAAGAAGACAGCCCUAGGCUGAAAUCCCAGGCUAUCAUAAAAGGACAAUGCAUAGCUCUUCUAUGUGUUGCUAUGGGAAGACCAUCCAGAUAUAUCUCUGGAGAGAAGAAUAGGAUAUGUCGGAGUUCUAGCUGGAUAAGUUGCACCUGCUGUCUUGGAAGCAAGUGUGAAAGAACUAUUAACACCAGAGACCCUCUUGGAUGGCCUGACAAGGUGGAGCUGGAUUUAUUCACAUCCAAGAGUAAAAGGGAGUCAUAGACUUCUGUUCUU